CCUCCUUCCUUCCCGACCCCUCGGGAUCAUCCCGGCGCAUUCCCGGCUCUCUCCGCCCUGGGAUCGCUGCUCCGUAGCCGCAGCAAGGCCCGGACACGCCGAGGAUGCAGCGGGAGGUCAUCAGCUCCAGGUUUGGGAAUGGAGGGAGAAAGAAAAAAAGCUCCAAGGUCACAAACACGCAGCAGAGAAUGCAGAAAUUGCAGAAAUUCCCAUUCAGAGCUGGAAUUUGGAAAAUCCAACAGGAAAAACCCAAAAAUGCUGUGGGAAAUCGGGGCCUGCCUGCAGUGGAAGAGCCCUGGAAGGUCCCUCCUGAUGGGAAUUUGGGAAUUUGGGAAUUCUGGAAUUCCCUGACCAGUGUGGAGUGAGGGAUGGCACCACCACACCUCACACAGCUCCCUCCGGGAACCCCCGGCCCCCUCAGGCCUCUCCCGGUACCUCCGGCCCGGCCGCUCCCGGUACCGUCGACCCCGCCCGGC
Vidua macroura (Pin-tailed whydah) is the source of this 476-nucleotide long non-coding RNA. RefSeq lists it as uncharacterized. The record is from RefSeq and is a predicted model, not a curated record. Lineage: Eukaryota; Metazoa; Chordata; Aves; Passeriformes; Viduidae. The transcript has 3 exons.